Molecule: long non-coding RNA, 1922 nt
Organism: Antechinus flavipes (yellow-footed antechinus)
Lineage: Eukaryota; Metazoa; Chordata; Mammalia; Dasyuromorphia; Dasyuridae
Exons: 4
Source: RefSeq, a predicted model, not a curated record
GAAAAUUAGGUAAGGAUGAAGGCUAUAAGAGGGGGAAGGGAAAGGGAGUAAAACAGGGGAAGAAGAGAUUGAGGUAAAAGAAUAAGAUUAAAAGGGAGAAAAUCAGGAAGAAGAAGCUGAGAGGAAGAGUGAGAAAGCAAGAAGAAAGAAGAGAAAGAAAAGAAGGAUGAAGUUCUAGAUAGGUCCUAUGAGUAAUCGAGUCUGCUGUCCUGAAACUGGAUGAGCUUGUGGCUGAAAGGAGUUAUUUGAGUUGAUCGUGGGAAAUCGAACAGUAAAAAUAAGAGGAUUAUAGAUUUAGAGUUGGAAAGGAUCUGGGAGAUGUGAUGGGGAUCACUUCAAGAUCAGCUUGAUAGAACAAAAAAGAAAGUGCCUGGCACCUAAUAGACAUUUAAUGUGUUUGCUGCUUGACAUGUACAUUAUUGUGUACAGGAAAUUGUCUGACCAAGAGCUGCUCUGAAGCUGUUUAUUGAGAUAAUUUGAUACCCAGAGUUCAAUGUCUAGAAAAUGUCUAGAAAUGGAUAUCUAUAUAAUUGCUAACCAACCAUGUGAUAUUGGGUGUCUCCUGAUGAAGGCGCAGCAUCAAUUUGAACAUCUGUCUUACCUAAACUUUGGAUUGCUUCCAGUGCUAUAUACAGUGGGUGCUUAAUAAAUGCUUGUAUGCAUAUAUGUGUAUGUGUAUGUGUAUGUGUAGAGGAAUACACCACAUCUGUUGGAGUCUUUAGUUUCUCAUAUGCCUCUUAGGGACAUAGAUGCCUGUGAUUUGGCAUCUUUAUUUUAGACAAGGCUAAGAGAGCUCAUGUGACUUGUCCACAGCCAGAGAGUUAGGUGUCUGAGUAUGGAUUUAAAUUUGGACCUUCUAAUUCCCAAUACAGAUUUUUUUUAACCAUAUCAUGCUGCCAAACUCCUAAUAUAUUUUAGACAGGGCUAUUUGUCUGUGUUCACCCAAGAGUGAAUCAAAAAUAACAAACCUUGAACAGAGAAACAAUUUUAAGACCCCCAAGUUGAAUAUUUGAGUAUCCUAUCAGGAUUUCCAUUGUAAUAAAAGUAAGAUUUAAUUUCCUUCUCUUAUUCCUGAGCAUGGCCCUUUAGGAUGAGCAGAAUCCUCCUUAAUUGGGGUGAUAUGGAAAAGUACCUGCCUCCCUUCCUCAGACAUGUAAGCUAAGACAUGUAAGCCAUCUUAGGAGUAGCUUGAUAGCACAAAAGGAAAAAUAACCUGAAAAAAGAAAUCUGUACUCUGAAUCAGUCCUAACACUGCAGGAAGGAACAGUGGAGAUAUUUUGGUGACUGAGGGAGUAUCAGAUUAACUCUUGUGCAAAUCAGACUGGUCAGGAGGAGGUCAGCAAAGCAAACUCUCUUCACUGGAGAGGAAUGGGAGGGGAAAUGAGUCUUCUGUGAUUCAGUGGAAAGAGCAUGGGACUUAGCAUCAGGAGAAUUGAUAACAAACUAUAAAUAUGAUGGAAUUCUCUUAUGUGAUAAAAAAUUAUAAAACUUAGGAGAAACCCAGGAAGACUUAUAUGAACUAAUACAGAGUAAGGAGAGUAGAAUCAGAAAAACUAUUUUAAAAAUUACAACAACAUUGCAAAGACAAACAGCUUUAUAAAGGCUUAAGAACACGGAUCAAUUCAAUGACCUAUUCUACAGGAUUGAUGAUGAGGCACGCAGAGAGGCACACGUUUUUUGCACACGACCAAAGUGAGAAUUGAUUUUGCUUACCUCUGCAUAUUUGUUCCAAGAUAUUUUUCUUUUUCUUUUUCUUUUCUUUUUCUUUUUCCAGUGUGGUGAAUGGGAGGGAGAGAAAAUAGAUUUUUGUUAAUUAAAAUAAAUGAAAUUAAAUUUAUAAAAAUAAAUGCUGGAUUUGUGUCUUGGUUGUGUCAUUUAUUAGCUGUGUGACCUUAGGCAAGUAGAUCUGCAGUAAACCUGCA